UUGCAUUGAAAAGGACAUCGAGCAAGGUGUUGAACACAAGUGAUGAUAACAGGGCUUAUAUCUCAUUCCCAUUCCUAAGUAGAAGCUUUCAAAUUCUCUGAACAAUAAUAUGUAUUUCAUCCUGUUCAUGUGAGUCUGUUCUGCAAUUUGCAUUUCUUGUAACACACUUAUCAGGAUCGAAGAUCAAAAUUAUAUGUUGGAGCUUGGCACAGCAGCUAGAGCCUGUCAUCACAGCCCUUUGGGAGGCCAAGACAGGAGGAUCACUCGAGCCUAGAAGUUUUGGGCUUCAGUGAGCUAUGAUCUUGCCAUUGCACUAUAGCCUGGGCAACAGAGAGAGAAGCUGUUUACAAAAAGUAAAAGAAAAACACAACAGAAAAGCAAAGUUACGAGUUGGGAGGGUCUUCCUCUGUCACCCAGGCUGGCAUGCAGAGAUGUGCAUUCCAACUAACUGCAGCCUCAACAUCCUGUGCUCCAGCAAUCCUGCCACCUCAGCCUCCCCAGUAGCUGGGACUACAGCUGCUUGCCACAACACCCGGGAUUAUGUGAAUUUAAAGAUAGAAGCAAUCAGAGCUGAAUAUCGGAAGAUGCCUGCAUUUCUCCAUGAAGAACAGCAACAUCAUUUGGAGAUGCUUCAAAAGGAGGACAAAGACAAUUUUUAGCAACUCAAUAAAAGCAAUGCCAGAAUGGCCCAUGAGAGGGAGAUUUUAAAAGGAAUGUAUGAGGAGCUGAAGGAAAUGUCCCAUAAACCAGAUGUGGAGCUAAUCCAGAUACUGACUGACCAUGGGGUAUCAGGAUGUGGAACAUUCAUGUGCGCAGGUGUUUUUCCUCUUUCCUGAAAUGCUUUCUUCCCUGUAUUUCCACGACUUCUUUCCAGAAACACAUUUCCAUAACUCAUGCUACUUUGUGGGUAGAGUAUAGCCCCUCCAAGGGAUUUUACCAGAAAAAAGGUCCCUCUUACUUUAUCCACCAGCAACAAAACUUUGUGGAAUGGUCAAGGUAACAGCCCUAAUAAAUAUUCCCCAUCUACAGUC
This is a long non-coding RNA of Pongo pygmaeus (Bornean orangutan), 1031 nucleotides long. RefSeq lists it as uncharacterized. The transcript has 5 exons. The record is from RefSeq and is a predicted model, not a curated record. NCBI's taxonomy places the organism in Eukaryota, Metazoa, Chordata, Mammalia, Primates, Hominidae.